RNAcentral lists this transfer RNA (74 nucleotides) under Christensenella minuta. It matches the Rfam family "tRNA". From Rfam's summary of the family: Transfer RNA (tRNA) molecules are approximately 80 nucleotides in length. Their secondary structure includes four short double-helical elements and three loops (D, anti-codon, and T loops). The record is from Rfam by way of RNAcentral. Lineage: Bacteria; Bacillati; Bacillota; Clostridia; Christensenellales; Christensenellaceae.
GGAGGCAUAGCUCAGUUGGUCAGAGUACCUGCUUCACAUGUAGGGGGUCGCUGGUUCGAGCCCAGCUGUCUCCA